This 501-nucleotide long non-coding RNA is filed under the name Pan troglodytes (chimpanzee). RNAcentral describes it as "long non-coding RNA NONPTRT011742". Lineage: Eukaryota; Metazoa; Chordata; Mammalia; Primates; Hominidae. The record is from RNAcentral.
CUCUCUGCCUCUCUCUGGAACACAGGAGGAACUUUGCUACUGCCUUGACCGACAGAAUACGGGGGAAGCGACAUUGUGUGAAUUACAAGCAGGGUGACUAACACACCAUCAGAGUGGCAGGAAAUUGGAGAAUCACUACGACAGUCACCUAGCCUGGCUGGCAGCAUUGAAAGAACAAACAAGUGCCUCCAGAAUUAAGGAAUUAAGGAGAAAAGCAGCCCUGACUUCAGAGGGUACAUCUUCCAUAAAGACCGUGCCCUGAGCUCACCAUUCCUCUUUCUGAGAGAGCUGAGGCAGUUCUUCCUUCAGGGGAGCAACCAUUGUUCUAGGCUCAAAGCAAGUCUGAGAGAGACGCACACGUGUGGGAUUCUAGGACCUUGACCCUCCACCACAAACAGAGGCACUCACCUCUGCAUUCUGGGAAACGACAGUCUGUGUGUCAGCCAGAUAAACACUUAAGUUCAGGGGCAUCUGACAAACAGCUGUCCCCACCGACCUUGU